UCAGUAUCAUAAAUCUGAAAAAGAAAGAUAUAUUCUUCUUUUUCCACUUCAGUUGUUUUCAAAUUUGUACUAGAUUUAAAAAGUCUCUUCAGACCUCCACAGCUACCAGACAUGAUUCCUUGCCAGACCAAUCAGACUUACUGUGAAAUAAAGUUUCCUGUCAUAUUAAGGUACAGCUGUCAUCUUAACCCUCAGUGCUGUAAACAAGCAGUUGCUGGCAGCAGAUCAUAAGCACAACUAUAAUCUGUGUACCUCAAUUUUCCACAUGUCUGGCCAAGAAAGGUAUGUCUCCAUGACAUCAUUCCAUCUCAUCAAUUUCCCUGUCUCCUCAGCCUUGCAACGCUUUUAUCCUCCUUUUUAUUUCUUCUGCAUUCACUUCCCUUGCAUCUCCUGGAAUCAUUUCUCUGUGCCAUUUUGGUUACCAUGUGUAGCCCAGUGGUGACUCAUGGAAAUAUCUGUAGACUCCUCAUCUAUUUAUUCUACCAGACAUAUCCUGUUAUUUGUCUGUCUCUCAACUAUUCUGCUUUACUUUAAAAAUGUUGCUUUUCUUGUUUAGGAUUUUCAUUCAUUAACCCCAGUGUAGUGUUGCUUUGGUGUUUUUCCUGCUUCUAAUUUUCCAUGCUCCUCUGACCAAAAGAAUGCUACCUCUGUGACAUGUUGGUGAAAUGUGUCAAUUUACCUUCUUACUCCUGCAGUGGAAACCGAAUUAGCCUCUUCUUAGAUCCACUAUGAGUUGUUGGCCCUCUUCUCUUGCUUCAGGAACCCAACGCUGGGAGAGGCCAGAGGACUUGCCCCUUUAACCCUAGUCUCGCAGUCACUGUAUGGUGACUUCAGUGCACUCUACAGGAUCUUGUCAGCUGUGUGUGAAAUUUGGUGCCUGAGAGCACACUAGUUCUGCGACCCCAGCAAGACCCCAAGGGAUGCAGAAGCAUCUGCCCAUCUGCAGGAGUAACACAGGCAGGUCUCUAACAAAUCACCUGAGCAAAAUUCAAUAUAAAGUUCAGGUUAGAAGUAUUCUCCAACAUAACCUGUUCCCUUUGUACGCAACAGUUACAUACAUCUCCUGCAUAUUAGAUAGAGCCUACAGCCUGAGCUUCCUUUCAGGGCAAAGGAUGUGGAUUUAUUUGCUCUCAGGUUGCUAGGAGACCUACUAUUUUCCAGCUGUACCCUCUCAGAUAAAAAGAGAUUACUACUUCCACACUACAAAAACACAAGAUUUUUUUUUCUUUUCACCAGGGCUCAGGUCUGGUCAGGGGGUGGUGAGCACUCUCACACUGCCAGACCCUCUGGGAGACAAAGUUACAAACUGACCCUGGUUUUGCACCGUUUGGAUAGGAACUACCUGCACAGGCAUCACCUUGCAUAUCUGUAUUUGCCAUGGUAUCUUUCAGAAAAACUAAUAACUACUAUUAAGAAAAGCAAUUCCUUGUAAAAAAUUGAAAGAUAUGGAAAAUCCGAAUUUUACCUGAGCAUUUCAACUUACCCAAAAGUCUGGAAGACAAAAACCCCCAAAAUUUAACAUUAUGAUUAGAAAAAGCAUAGGAUGAAGCUUACUAAGUUACACCUUCUGGGUGAUUAGACUGUGCCAUAUUUUAAAUCUUUCAGUGUCAGUGGUCUGAAACAUAAGGUCAUAAAGGGCAUUUACUGUGGACAGAGGGAAAGAGGAGUAUAAAGUUCUUUUCAUAUUUAUUUUGAAUAAGUUUGUUCUCUGCUAGCUUUUCUGAUGCAUGGAGAAAACCUGAAAGAGAAGCAUAUAAUCUAAAUUAUUUUACUGAUCUGGGCUGACUAUAGCAGCAAGAUUUGUAUCACCAAACUUCAGAAGUAUGUACCUUUACAGACUUUACAGACUUUGAAAAGUUUAGGCCAUUCCUCUGACACUGAGCUAACUUUCAAAUCUGUUUUGGUGCUGACAGUACCCACACACUAAAUAGAGCUUUCGUUUGCAUGCUUUUUCUCCUCACAGAAUGAGUUAGUUUGAGAGUUGUAAAUAUGGUUCAUUGCCUUUGUCCCAGACAGACACAUAUGAGAAAUGUACACUUUAACUUUCCCCAAACCAAUAUUUCCAUGUUCUUUACCUGCUUCCUUUGUUCUGUGUGCAUCAAUCAGUUGAAAAUUGUUCUACGUCAAAGAAUUUGAAAGUAAAUUAACAUAAGAACUUUCAAUUAGAACUGGUUAUUUAAGCCUGAGAUAUGAGUGUGAACUGUAUCUUGUUCCCUCCUUCCAGACAGAUUCUCAAGAACAAAUUGAAUUUGGAUUACAUAGAAAUCUUCUUGGCAUCAUUGUUAUUUUUUUUUAGAGAUUAAAGAUUUGUUAGAAUGCAUUCUUUCCAUCCUCGCGUGAUUAUGUGCAUAUUGGCCAAUAUUUUUAAACAUGGCGUCCUUGGGCUGAACAUUUUUGAAUAUCUUUGAUUAGUAAAUACAUACUCUGGCUUUCAGACACCCUUGGCAACUCACAAAUAACCAUAAACCUGCAGUGUCUUUUUCGCCAUAAGUAACUAAAUACCAGUAAUUAACUGUAAGAGAGCAGAAUUCAGUAGACAUAUUUUCUUUUGAAAUUUCCAACUUGGCAGUAGAUGGUUACCUUGUGUGUCAUCCUGUUACUGUUAAACAGCUCUUCCAGACCUGAAAGUAUUGAAAUGGGUAAGAUAAAUUUUGUUGAACAGAGCUGUACAAAACCAAUCUGCUGUAGAGAAGAAUAUACAGCCAAAACAAAAUUAUAUUAGUUUAGGGAAUUGAAUGAUGUGGCUUAGGUUCAGCAAUACUUUGGAAAACACAGAGCAAGAAAAAGGCAGUUACAGUGAAUUUUAUGAUUCAUUGAAAGAAUAUAUGGUACAAUAGUGACCUUUAAAUCUGGUGAAAACCCAACAGCAUCAUUUAACUUUCUCAUGCUGUUUCCAGACAGCACAAAGCGAAAGCAAAGGUCCUAAGUACUGUGGACUUUAACUGGUUUUAAGAAUAUACACACUAACAUGUAUACUCAGUUUUAAAUGGUGGAGGAACUUUAAUCUGUGAGGGAAGUAGAGAUUCAAUAAGCUUGUAUCUUCUUAUCAUUAACACCAUUCCAAAUAGCUCACAACUGAAGAACCUUGAUUUAACAUACUUGGCAAACGACCAGGCAAAAAAAGAAAUGCAUAUAAUUUGUUUUCUCUCUCUCUUUGUAUCUUAGCUCAACAUCUGUUUUUUCAGUCAUGAGCUCCUAAGAGCACAGAUCUCUAACACAGUAUUGAAUGAUGAUAAAAAUUGGACAAAUCUAAUCCAGCUGAACCUAUUGGAAAGAUUCUUGUUAUUGCAAAAAGCUUUGGUCUCAUUACUCAGUCUCCCAAAAGCAAUAUCUUUUUGGAAGGUCCAAGUGUUUUUUAUAACCAUUAAAUAUACAAAAGCAACAUUUCUCAUUCCCAUCCCCCAUUCAGACUUAUACACUAAUUAAUAAGCGGAAGUUUGGAAGCUGACUCAAACAGAGUUCUGAUUUCUCUGCAAAACCCCAUCGGUUUUGUCUCCUUGUCUCUCUCUUUUGUCCCAGCUCCCUCUGCUUAUAACUCCAGUUUCUCCCACAUAUCCUCCCUUCUUAUAUUUAUUUUCAUAUUCCCAAGAGCAUAUUCUGUUUUCUUUGCAAGUGACAUAAUUUCUAAGGGGCAAGGGGCAGCAUGAAGAGUGACUGGCUUGAAACAACAUGCUUUUGACUGCGAGCCAGCAGGCCAAAGGCAGAGGAGCCAUUUUGACGCCAGAAACAAGAUGAAUCUGGAUGGAAUCAGCAAACACGGAAUAUGACAACACCAGGGUCAGCCAGGAAAAGAUGGUGCGUGCAAGCCUCAGUUGUCCUGUGUGUGGCAAUAGACAUCCUACCCAUGCUGUGGUUGGGCAGCCAGGCAAGAGCUCUGGGAAAGGCAGCGUUCUUCCUCUGAGGAAUAAAGCAAAGAUGAGGCCCACAGCCCCCACCCUGCUAUACUGCCACAGCCCCUUGCAGCAUUGCCCUGCUGAAAAGACGUGAAGGUCUAGUUCACAGCUGAAAGACACAGCUGAUGCUGGCAGGGCUAGGCUUUACAAAAUACUCUGGCUCUCCCUGAGCUGCAAAUCUGAAACUUCAGUGGAAAUGCUGUGAAAAAUGUCUGGACUGUGGGAUUUGUGUUGUGUGGUGGCUGUUCAUUGUCAGGUUGGGAAAGUAGUUCCAGACUUUGAAUCAAAGUAAGGGUAGAAGGUUUGUUCUGCUAAUCUCUCUUCUUUUUUCUCCCACACAUACACUGCUACAUGUCACAUACAGAUGAGUUUUAACAACUCUGGAAGAGCUGACCAGAAUCAAGCUCUCUUCACUUAUAUUGUCUUGAGAACUUAAUGUCUGAAGAAAACAAACAACAAAAAGCAAUUACUUAUCUACUACGGGAAGUUGACACAAUAUUUUCAUAAAUUGGAUCUACCUUUACCGGCUUCUGGAGCGACAACAUUAUAAGUGAUUUCUGAAGCUUUUCAGUGGAACAUGGGCAUUUUGCCAUUUAUGCACAAAUGAGUAAAGCAUACUCCAAAACUCAGCAAAUACAAACUCCAGGUGGACUGGCCACACUAACUCAGCAAAUACAAACUCCAGGUGGACUGGCCACACUUUGCGUCUUUUCUAGCCAUGGAGAGCAGCCCAGACCCUUUCCAACCCAGGAAGCACAAAGCCCAGAAAGUACCACUCCAUGCAACAUUUUGUCCAUACUAAAGGAUGCCAAGCACAUCGGCUAUGUGUGUAUAUGUAGUCACCAUCCAACACUUUGGGAACAUGUGGCUGUUCAAGGAUCAAGUGAUAAAAACUCCCUUUCUUGUCUAAAUUAGCACAGCAAACCCCCUGUGCUCCAAAGGCCUAAAUAAGGCAUGGACUUCCCUCCAUGCAACAAAUUCCAAGCUUGCUAAAUGUGGCAUCCUGCCAUAGGAAGCUGAAUCCCAAAGUGACCCAGCAUCACCUCUGGCUGGCCAGCUACCUCCCAGACAAAGCUGAUCAGGGACUGUAACAGCAGGGGAGAAGAGAAAGUAAGCGUGAAUAGUUAUAAAAUCUCUCUCCACCUCUCUUGCUCAAAAAUAGUGUCAUCAUCUCAACCCUUGAGACACAGUUUUAUUGUUCAGACAGAAAGCUCAAAACCAAAUGCAAAACCAAAGCCAUUUCUUGGGCCAAAAUGACCUAGGGCUAUUGCCCACCCUAAGUCAGCCUAGACCUUGACAGGGAAGAGAUUUGAUUUUCUUAAAUCAACCUACCCAUAUGUUAAUUUCACUGCCAGUUGGGUUCACAUUCCAGCUUACUGCCAUAAAUGAACAAGUAUGCAGGGCAAAGAUGAAAACAGUCCUUAUUCACUUCAAGUCUUAGCUCCACAGGCUUUUAGAGCCCAGCCUGUUAUGUCAGUCAGUGUUGAGCUUGGGCCUCACUCAGAAAACAAUUGACCUUUUGUCCUCCCUCAGGGAAUGUACAUAACAGGGUGGGUGUGCUUAGCAAUACUUUGAAGGACUGGGAUGAUCUUUGGAUGUAGCAUGAUAUAAAGAAACAUUAGGAACAAUGAUAGAAACUCUGUGCUCAAAGUAGGAUAACUUGUCACACCCCAGUAGAAAAAUACAGAAAUGUGUGCUCAGCAUAUCUGUGGGAAUGCAACGGGACCAACUGGGAUUUUAUGCCACAUAUAGCAAGCUGCCUGUGGAACCACUGCCAUUGGCAGCUGCCAAAUGUUGCCAGCCAUCUCACUAGUAGUGAGAGAAGCUACUAGAGUGAGCAGUGGGCUAGGGGGCAGGUAGAAAGGAGAGACACUUCA
Pseudopipra pipra is the source of this 5770-nucleotide long non-coding RNA. RefSeq lists it as uncharacterized. The transcript has 3 exons. Lineage: Eukaryota; Metazoa; Chordata; Aves; Passeriformes; Pipridae. The record is from RefSeq and is a predicted model, not a curated record.